Molecule: ribosomal RNA, 386 nt
Filed under: uncultured bacterium
Lineage: Bacteria
Description: bacterial SSU rRNA
Rfam family: Bacterial small subunit ribosomal RNA
Source: RNAcentral
AUUGAACGCUGGCGGCAUGCUUUACACAUGCAAGUCGAACGGCAGCGGGGGCUUCGGCCUGCCGGCGAGUGGCGAACGGGUGAGUAAUGCAUCGGAACGUGCCCAGUCAUGGGGGAUAACUACGCGAAAGCGUAGCUAAUACCGCAUACGCCCUGAGGGGGAAAGUGGGGGAUCUUCGGACCUCACGUGAUUGGAGCGGCCGAUGUCAGAUUAGCUAGUUGGUGAGGUAAAGGCUCACCAAGGCGACGAUCUGUAGCGGGUCUGAGAGGAUGAUCCGCCACACUGGGACUGAGACACGGCCCAGACUCCUACGGGGAGGCAGCAGGUGGGGAAUUUUGGACAAUGGGCGCAAGCCUGAUCCAGCCAUGCCGCGUGAGUGAAGAAGG